CCUUACUGCUAUCGGGGUGGGACUAAGACAUGCGAGCUCGAGCGUCUCUAGCUAUGUUGAGACGCGGCAGACGGCUCAGUAACACGUGGCUAACCUACCCUCAGGACGAGGACAAACCCGGGAAACUGGGGCUAAUACUCGAUAGGUGAGUAUGUCUGGAAUGAUUUCUCACUCAAAGGGCUUUAGGAACAUGCUUCUAAAGUCGCCUGGGGAUGGGGCCGCGUCCGAUCAGGUUGUUGGUGAGGUAAUGGCUCACCAAGCCUAUAACCGGUACGGGCCGUGAGAGCGGUAGCCCGGAGAUGGGUACUGAGACAAGGACCCAGGGCCCUACGGGGCGCAGCAGUCGCGAAAACUCCGCAAUGCACGAAAGUGUGACGGGGCUACCCCGAGUGCCAUUCGCUGAGGAUGGCUUUUCCUUGGUAUAACUCGCCGAGGGAAUAAGGAGAGGGCAAGACUGGUGUCAGCCGCCGCGGUAAUACCAGCUCUCCGAGUGGUAAGGAUGAUUAUUGGGCUUAAAGCGUCCGUAGCCGGCUUAGCAAGUCUCCUGUUAAAUUCAGCGACCUAAUCGUUGAGCCGCGGGAGAUACUACUAGGCUAGGAGGCGGGAGAGGUCGACGGUACUUCUGGGGUAGGGGUGAAAUCCUAUAAUCCCGGGAGGACCACCAGUGGCGAAGGCUGUCGACUAGAACGCGCUCGACGGUGAGGGACGAAAGCUGGGGGAGCGAACCGGAUUAGAUACCCGGGUAGUCCCAGCCGUAAACGAUGCGGGCUAGGUGUUGGGGUGGCUACGUGCCACUUCAGUGCCGCAGGGAAGCCAUUAAGCCCGCCGCCUGGGGAGUACGGCCGCAAGGCUGAAACUUAAAGGAAUUGGCGGGGGAGCACCACAAGGCGUGAAGCUCGCGGUUC
RNAcentral lists this ribosomal RNA (905 nucleotides) under uncultured crenarchaeote. RNAcentral's name for it is "bacterial SSU rRNA". It matches the Rfam family "Archaeal small subunit ribosomal RNA", at positions 21 to 903 of the family's 1478-position model. Lineage: Archaea; Thermoproteati; Thermoproteota. The record is from RNAcentral.